GUGAGAGUAGACAGUCUUGCCUUGUUUCUUAUCUAAGGAAGAAAGAUCCAAUCUAUUACCCUUAAGUUUAAUGUUAGCUAUAUGUAUCUCAAAGAUGCUCUUAAUGGAGAUGGGGAAGUUCUUCACUAUUUCUAUUUUUCUGAGGAUUUUUAUAAUGAAUAGAUUUUGAUUUUGUCAAAUUAUUUAUUUGCAUCGGUUGAAAUGAUCAUGAGAUUUUUCUUCUUUAGACUGUUAAUAUAGUGGACCGUAUUGAUUGCUUUGCAAAUACUGAACCAGCCUGGCAUCUCUGGAAUAAAUUCUACUUUGUCAUGCCUAACACACCACCACCACCACCACCACCACCUCAGCCUUCCCACGUUCUGGCAGUCUUCCCAAUUCUGCCAAUCAAAUUUCAAACUAUACUUUGCUGUGGGCAUGGAUGGAGAAGCAGGUCACAUCUGAUGAAUGAAGAGGAGCUUCCAAGCAGCCAAAGUAAAGUAUUUUGCUACACAAACUGCAGGAUCAAUGUUCGUGUUUUGAAGCUCAAGAGAUUGACAGCUGUAGAAAUUAAGUUCCAGAAUAUAUCCACCAGCCAGGUUCAUAAUUGUCUCAGAAGUGGCCCUGGGAAACCCAAACAGCUCCAAGGACCACUAUACCAGGCCACUCCGCUUCUCUAAUAAAAUAUUUCUACCACUACUCUUAAAAUUUGUUUUUAAAAUUUAAUUUUUAAGAGCUGUUUUAGGUUUACAACAAAAUUAAGAAAGAGGUACAGAUAUUUCCCACAUACCCCCUGUCCCAUACAUGCAUAACUUCCCCUUUAUCAACGUCAGUCUCCA
Molecule: long non-coding RNA, 815 nt
Filed under: Equus caballus (horse)
Lineage: Eukaryota; Metazoa; Chordata; Mammalia; Perissodactyla; Equidae
Description: lncRNA (ENSECAG00000047184.1)
Source: RNAcentral